Molecule: ribosomal RNA, 661 nt
Filed under: Palythoa cf. heliodiscus JDR-2017
Lineage: Eukaryota; Metazoa; Cnidaria; Anthozoa; Zoantharia; Sphenopidae
Description: eukaryotic LSU rRNA
Rfam family: 5.8S ribosomal RNA (bases 294-447)
Source: RNAcentral
CCGCGAACCCGACCUAUUCUUUGGGGUAGGCCCCGUGCGGCCUUUAAAUGGUACCUGGGACGUAGUCGCUUCGGCGAACACCGAUGGAAAUAUAAGGUCGACCCUCUGGCUGCAGACAGAGGGUCGUCGCUUCGCUCGACCCCUUGGCUGCGGAGGGGGUCGUCGCUUCCGUCGAUGGGGUCGACUCCUUCUGAUCAAAGGGGUGCGACGACGACGCCGACCGGUCCGGCCCCGUUUAUUUUUUUGCUAACGUGUUUGCAGACUGAAACGUGAGCGAACGAAAAAAGAGAGACAACUCUCAACGGUGGAUCUCUUGGCUCGUGCAUCGAUGAAGAACGCAGCCAGCUGCGAUAAGUAGUGUGAAUUGCAGAAUUCAGUGAAUCAUCGAAUCUUUGAACGCAAAUGGCGCUCUCGGGUCUUCCCGGGAGCAUGUCUGUCCGAGUGUUGGCAUCAAUCGAAUCGCGCGUUUCGACGCGCGGCGUCGAGGUGUCGCGGCCGACGUGCGAGGCCGCGUCCCUUCAGAUGCAGAGCGACCCGGUCGGCGGCGCGAGCGCGGCGACUCCGGAGGCCUAAGAAGGAAUGGACGGUCAGCCCCGGAGACGACCCCGCCGCGCCCCGAUCGGGGAGAGGAAACCCGGGGAACGACGCUUUCGCGACCUCG